Molecule: non-coding RNA, 4127 nt
Organism: Ictidomys tridecemlineatus (thirteen-lined ground squirrel)
Lineage: Eukaryota; Metazoa; Chordata; Mammalia; Rodentia; Sciuridae
Source: RefSeq, a predicted model, not a curated record
GCGACGGCUUUAGGGGUUCUUCUCGCUUUUUCUUUUUUCCUUUUUUUUUUUUUAAUUCUGAGCUCGCAGUGCUUGGGCUAGGCUGGCGAGAUCUCGCGAGAUGCUGCAGGGCGACUGAGCCGCUUCCCCUCAAGCGCGUGGUACCCGAGGCCCGGCCGCGGCUGCCGGCCGCCGCAGUUCCUACGGUGAUGCUGGGGGCUCUCCUAUGGGGCCCGCGGGCUGGUGCGUGUUCUGCAAUGCCUUCUCGGGGUUCUGGCCGGCCGCCACGUCCCGCUCUGGUGGCCUGAACUUGAGGAGAGGCAGCUUCCCUCCUUGAGGCCUCUUAGUCUAACACUCAGGCAGCCAGGCAGUUAGAUUUGCAUAACUAGAAUCAGUUCCAGUCGUGAUGCAGCGGGUGUGUCCACAUUUCCGACGACUUAACACUUUUAUUUUAAAAGACUGAUAUCUGAAGCUUCUUGGGAAAGUCGGUGAAUCCUGCACGCUGGAUUGAAUGUCUGGAGCUGCAGCAGUGCAGCUGGGCCAAGCCCCUAUGGCUGCAUAACAGGUUGAUGUGUCUUGGCUCAACUGCAGUGCUGGUCCAACAUGCCUCAAGCCCACUGUGCCUCAGGCCUGCACUCCGGUUCGUACAGGUUGUUGCUCUGCUGCUUCACCAAUUCACUCUGAUGCCACUUCUUCACAGGGUCCAUUGGACUGGUGGCGUAGGUUCUCGACCAGGGAGCCAUGUUACCAGGCGUGUUUUACCACUGAGCUACAUACAUUCCAGUCUUUUUAAUUUUUUUUUUUUUUUGAGAUAUAACGUCACUAAGUUGAGGAGAAUGACUUCAAACUUGAGAUCCUCCUGCUUCAACUUCCCUAGUCACUGGGAUUAUAAGUAUGUGUUACCACAACUGGCUGGUCCUUUUCAAUUUUAUUAUCCAAAGAUAGUUUCAUUUUCAGAUCUUUGCUAAUGAAGACAUACCUUUAAAAGUUUAUUAGCCAAACUUAGUGGUGCACACUGUAGUCACAGCUAUUCAAAAGGCUAUCAUGGGAAGAUUGCUUGAGCCCAGGAGUUUGAAGCCAACCUGGGAAACAGAACUUGUCUCAAAAGUUAUUAUUCAUUUAUAUAUCUUUAUUUCUGAAUUGUCUGAUGAUGUUUAUAGUAGACCUUUGCUGUAUCAUGGAAAGCUCACUUGUAUCCUGUCUUGUUUUGGUAAGAAUGUGCAAUUUUCUUUUUUUAGUUAUUGUUUUUUCAAUAGGAUAAAGAAUUACCUCUCUGUAACUUGCCUGUUCCAGCCAGAUUGUGAGCAUGAAAAAAUGAACCAAUCUGGCUCUUUUAAACAUUUUGAAUUUCAGGUGUUAGAAACAAAGUCAGAAAUCAAGUCUGUUUGUUGAGACUGUUAGCUCCUUUUAUCUUGCUGCUUCUAUCACAAAGGAACUGUCUGCCAGGUUGAUGGUAAAUACAAAGGGCCUCCACUCAAUUUGGGACAACUCUAAAGGGCCAUUCCAGCAUAAGCACCUUAUGAGAAUGGAUGAGGCUUUAUUUGUAUCCUGUGCGUCUGCUUUUCCCCCUACCCAGUCCUACUCUUCCUACUUUCCUUAGAGAUAUAUCUCCUGGGAACACUUGCUAGCAAAGUUUCUGUUCAUCAUUGCCUUCCUCAGUCUAUUUCCAAGGUACUGUCUAUUUAUUUUUAGUAACAACAUUCAGAAAAGACUACACAGUUGUCUUGAUACCAGGACCCUCUGAAACUACUUCUCUUAUCUUUUCAGCAUAAGGUUCUUCUUCCUUUUAGCUUUUCCAUAUUCUCCUAGUAAUUCACUGUUUUACUUAAACUUUUGGGUUCUUUGGCUUAUAAUCAAAGAUCAGUGUUAACACAAAAUUCUUUACCAUUUUUCUGGUGUUUUCUUUUUAACCAUUUCUAGGACUAUCUUAUGUAUUACAAACAUAAACCUUACACUGAAAUGGUUUUCUCCAGUUUGUUAGUUGCAUUGUAAGUUUGUUCAUCAUAAUAUUGACAUGCAAUUAUUUAGAAAAUAAACUAGGUAUUUUUCUUUAUGAUUCUUACUUUUCAUAGCAAUGCUUAGAGAGGCUUUUGUUAUCACAAGAUCAUAUAAGUAAAUAUCUAUGUAUUUUAUGCUUUUAUUUUUAUCCCCUAAUUUUUAUGAAAAAAUUAAAAAUUAUGGAAGCCUUCAUUUGUUGUUGUUUUCAAAUCAGUGGGAAGGGGGAACUAGAGAGUAGAAAACAAGCAGCUUAUGUCUCUCUCUUUCCCUCCCUCUCUUUUUCUUUCUCACACACUCACACACUAACAGAUGUGCAAUGACAUUUUAAUCGUAUAUGCCAAAAGUAAGACACUUGGGUAUGCAUACCAGAUUGGGAAAUAUAAUAUUUUGAUUGUUGUUACUGCUGUUAUUUUGGUGUUAAAGAUUGAACCCGGGGCUUUGGACAGAAAAUACAGCUUUCUACCUCACAAUCCUGUGGCCAGCCAUAACCCAUAGAGUUCAGGAAGCCCCCAUGGUCAUAUGAGAACUGCCAGUGGGUAGAAACCUCUAUUUUAAAGGAUUAUAAAAUAUUUUAAAAUGAUAAUUAUGUUGCACAUGGAAUUAAAAAUGUACCUACAUAAGUUAAGGGAAAAUUAAUAGCUAACAUUUUAUAAGAAUUUUCUCCUUACAAAAUUAGGUGUGUGUGUGUGUGGUGUGUGUGUGUGUGUGUGUGUGUGUGUGUGUGUGUGUGUGUGUUUGUGUACCCAAUAAUAAUUCUAAAAUUAUAUUCUACUCCACCAACACUACCAUAUUUGUUAAGGAGAUGAUUUUAAUCCUCUUGAUAGUCUUAUACUUUUAAAAAUCUCUUGUUCUUUCUGUAUAGGCUACAUAAAUAGGAGUAAUGAUGAUAGGAUGUAUAAUAUGAUUGCUUAAGAGCAUUUAUAAUUUAUUAAAUAAAUUUAUCAUGAAAUGUAAUAUCCUUGAAAAAGAAUGACCCUUAUCUAAUUUAGGAAUGAAUGUUAAAGAUCUCAUAAUGAAAUAAGAAUUAGAAAUUCUAUAUUCUUACCUAAAUAUAAGAAUAUGUUCCUGGGACUGGUACUUGAUCUUAAUCCAUGAUCAUUUGGACAGAGUUCCAUAUUUAGUCUCCCUAUACCUAUUUUUGCAUUAUAAAUGCCUAAAUCUUAGAAUUCAUUCUGCAAGCCUAUUAAUGACUCUUUGGAUGAUUCCCUUGGAAUUAUAGAAUAUUUUCUUUGUGAACCAUUCAUAUUGACUUUUUAAUUUUUAUUUUUAUUGUUAUAUACAUAUAUACACUAUAUAUUUACAUAAAUAUGUAUUUAUACUAGGCACAUGCUCUACCACUGGGUUAUUGUCCCCCUGCCCUAUCUGGUAUUAUUUCUUAUGAUAUGUAACAUAUAUACAGAGACAUGUUUAGAACAGAUAUGUACAUUUUGGUGGAAAUUAUAAAGCAAACACCUAUAUAAGUCACCAUCUAGGUCUUGAAACUCGUGAGGACUCCCAAAAGUCCCUACUUUUUCUCUACUCAUGGAAAGUUUAUGAUGGUUGUGCCUUGAUUUUACUGUUCAUCCCAAAACACAGUAAAUAAAUGGAUUCAUAUUGUAUGUUUCUUCUUUUCAGCAUAUGUUUAUGCCAAUAACUCUGGCAUUUGUGUUGUAGUGUAUUUUCAUGAUAUAGCCUUGUAUUUCUAUACCAUAAUUACUGUUAAUCAAUACUUUUAUGGUUUCCAGGUACACUUUGUGUUUAUUUUUAUUUUAUAUUUUUGUAGGGAUGGGUUCAAACCCAGGGCCUUUUACUUUACCACUGAGGUCUCAUCUCCUGUGAGCUUUUGUUUUUGUUGUGAACACUGAUGUGUGAACAUUUUUAUACAAGUGUCAGGGUAAAUAUGUUUCCAUAGGAUAUGUAUUUAGGAAGGAAGGCAUUACUAGUUUUUAAGGCAUGUAUACCCCUUCAAUAGACAGUGACACAUUGUUUUCUUAAGUGAUUGUACCAAGCAUAAUGUUAUCUUUAAGGUUCUCUACCAUGACUUCAAAUAUUUGCUAAAAGUUUCUUGAAAGUAAAACACAAAGUAGUUAUAUUAUGGUAUUGGAUUUUAUUUUAAAAUUAAUUUAAAACUUGCAUCAGGAAAUAAAGGAUGAAAACCCAUUCUUUUUUAA